This is a long non-coding RNA of Cygnus olor (mute swan), 3778 nucleotides long. RefSeq lists it as uncharacterized. The transcript is spliced from 4 exons. NCBI's taxonomy places the organism in Eukaryota, Metazoa, Chordata, Aves, Anseriformes, Anatidae. The record is from RefSeq and is a predicted model, not a curated record.
AGGAAAUCCUGCCAUGUCACUAGUUCCUCUGAUGAGCAGAGUAUAAUAAGCAACAGAUUCACUGAGAAAAUGCUUCCUAUCUGUUAGAAGAAUUUGACAGUUUUCAAAUGGAUGAUGCAUGAUUUAGGUUUGUUGACACUGAGUGAGCAGCACCUGAGGAACUUCAGAAAGUGCCAGGAUUUUCAGUGGAGGAAGGCAGGUUCCUGCUGCGUCCAUACAAUGUUGCUGACCAGCAGACUGGUGGAUACAUGAAGAAAACUCCUGCAUCCCUUCAAAAUGGGUUGGGUACAGGCUGUGAGGAGGAUCUGCGUAUAUCUGAGAAGGCCAUAACUGAGAUAAUCAGAAAUCUCCCAUGGAAUACAGAAGUGAACACUUCUGAGCUGCACACCACAGGGGACAUACAAUUCCAAAAAGGGCAGAGAUAGAUGGAAAAGUGGAGUUUCAACCUUUACAGAUAAGAAUGUGUAUCCAUUUAAUAAUAAUAAUAAUAAUAACAAACUAAAAUAUUUUCAGAAAAUUGAAGUCUCAACAACAGCUCACAGGAGCUAUGGAGCAGCAGAUAAUUAUUCUAUGACCAUCAACAAAAGUGAUGGCCCAGGAACCAAUGCUGCCACUUGAUAGCUACAUACACAUAAAAGGCCAGUGCAAAGCUUUGGCUUCUUUGACUUGCUUCUUUACAAUAAAAGAAAUUACUGCUUAAAGGUAAAAAAUUGUGAAUUUGAAUGAAAAAGAGAAAACACUAUAAGAGGACAAGAGAGGAAAAAGAAAGGCUGGGGAGAUUAGGAAAGAUAACAAUGCCUCUUCUACCGGUAAGUUGAUUGUACAAAUAAAAUCGGCAUUUCUACUCUCCCACUUGUCUAUUUGCAUUUCUCCCCUCUCUUCGUACAGUAAAUAUAUACUUGAAGAAAGAUGCUCUAAUUUUGGUGUUUAUUCCCUGCUCAUUCUGAGUACAGUCUCUGUGGUGAGGCUAUAUUGUACUUGUUUGUAACAAUUAAAAUAAUACUGCUUUGAACUGAAUUUGCUAAGCUCAGAACCUGGGAAAAAGUGCAAGUGGAUUUAAGGAGUCACUUUUCUCUUUCCUGGCCUCUUCACUGUUGCACCCCCUGCUUCUCCAUUCUUAGUGGCAUUAAAGAUUCACCCAGCCUCAGAGACAUCCUCUGACAGGCUGCAGACCAUGGUGAUUUUCCCACUGCUGUUUUUUUGUUUGUUUGUUUUGUUUUGUUUUGUUUUGUUUUCAGACCAGUGGCCCUCCAGACACAUUGCCCUGCUUCCAGAAGAUGCAAAAUGCUUCAAUCUGUCAGCCUGCAGAACAAGAGCCAGCCCUGUGUUUGCUGAAGCUUUACUGUGUCAUGUGAAUUGUCAGAGCAAGCUUGCAGGUUGCUGUUGUUUCUAGAAAGAGCUGUGAAGAUGCCAGGGCUUGCGGGAGAAUCUGCCCUUACCUGGCCUGAACUCUAAGGCUAAAUCUUCAGUGAACUGCUACAAAUUCACCCACAAAAGAUGGAGCACUUCUGGUUUCACAUGUGAGCACAGCCUUUGCGUGAGUAUUGGUGCACACAUGCCAGGGCACUGGGCCCAAAAAGUCUUGUGGGAGCAACUGGAGUUUUUUGUAAGUAGAGGCAUCUUUAUGUGAACUGCUAGAAAGUCUUGUCCUUGAGUCCAGGUCAGCUAAAUUGGAUUUCCUUGGGAAUAUAUGUCUUAAGAAUAUGGUGGAAAAGAUCUAUCCAGAACUGUUUCUUCUCCAUCAAACCAAAGGCAUGACUGUAUUUUUCUCUUAAAGUUUCCUGUCUCUCAGUAUGUUGUUCACUUACAGUCUGCUAGUAGGUCUCCAUUCUCUCACUCUGGCCUUUCCAGCAGGAUCCCUCAAAUCUUAUCCCCCAGGAAAUGCCCUUCCUUCCAGAAUUCUCAGCUUGCUCUUUUGUUUUGACACACUUCACCUGAACUCUGCUUAUUAAUGUAAAAUAAAAAAGACAUAACUUGCAUUAUAUACUCACAGGAACACCAGCAAAUUCUAUAUAUAUAUAUAAAAAAAAAAAAAAAGACAUGGGAAACAAAGAAAAGAAUUGAAAUGAGGUGCUUGAAAGGUUUGUGAAAGUGUGAAAAGACUUUCUUUGGCUGUCCAAUAUUUGUCAUUCAUUUAAUCAAUUAAUUUACUUCUCACAGCCAAAACACUGCCAUUAAAAAGGCUUACUCAGAUGCUUUACCCUGUUCAUAUUGAUUCAUUUUCAGUGAAAAUAUCAAUAUCUUUGUAUAGAUCUGGACCUUAAAGUUACUUAAUUAUUGAUUGUGAAACAGUUGCUCAGACUGAGCAGGCGGAUUUCUGCUGUGUUCAACAAUAAUAAGAAACCAAGCUUUUGCAUGGAUAGGCAUUGUUUAGGACCAUUAUUAUUUAGUGUAUUUCUUGUCAGAGGUGAGCAGAAGUGUACCAGAAUGACUUUUCUGUGACCUAGUGUGGUCAACACUUCCCAUUUCAUUCAUCAGCUACUGAAAACUAAAUUAGAGAACUGUCUACCCUUUUCAGUAAUUGUUUCUUACUGUCACUCUGAAGACAGAAUGAACUUUCCUGGUGAAAACAGUAAAUAAUACAUUCAAAUCAUGUUGCUUUUCUGGCAACCUCCAAGUAUAUUUUUGAAAGCCUAAGGACUAUUAUAUGUUGAGACUUAAUUGAUUUAAAUAUUUGGUGUUUUUGGUGACCUGUGAGUUCUGCUGAAACUACUGAUAGUAAAAUUUUUGUAAUCAGGAAUCUGAGAUGAACAAGGUUGAAGUUUUAUCUAAUUCUGUAUCUAAUUUAUUCCUCCUUUGUAAAGUUUUUGUAAGAAAAUUUGGUGCUUUGACAUUAUCCAGAAAAGAAAAAGAAAAAAAAUAUCUAAUGGCUAUGACUGUAAGUAAGUGUGGAGCACAAAGCUGGGCCCCAAGAUUUCCUUGGGGAAAGAAAAAAACUUCCUGCUGUGAAUAUAAAUAAUGUUCUUCUGUGUAGCUCCUGAACAAAGGUAUAUCAGAAUAACUAGAUAUAACCUAACUCACCCAAUGUCUCUGUAGGGCUUUUUACACCUUAGCCUCUUGCACUCCACAGUCAUCGGCUGAAUGGCUGGUUGCAGACCCUGUGUGUGACAGCCAGCGCUGGCUCAAGGCUCCUCAGCAAUGCUGGCAAACCUGAAUCUUGUCACCCCAAGAAUGAGGGGCUGGGGAUGAGGCUGAAGCCCAGCCCUGCAUCUUGUUGGAAGGGGAAGAAAGUGAAGAAGGACCAAAGCUGAGUUCUGCCCUACAGCUGUAUCUAUCUCCUACACGACUCAGUCAAGUCUUUUCUUUGGUUGCAACACCAGCACAAUCCUGUAUAUCUAAGGGUCUGGUGUAGAGCAGUCAGCUAGUGGCAAGGAGCAGUUUUACUGUGGCACCACAGCUUUGCCAGUGUGGUGCCACAGGUGGCUGCUCUUUCUGUCCAUGCCUAGAGGUGAGUGUGUGGCCAAAGCCUUAGAAAUAUAGAAGCAAUCAUCCUAUAUCAGCCAUGUCUUGUUUCUGACCUGGGGCAAGAGCAGAUGUUUCAAAAGAAGUAAGAAAUGAUAGCAUGAAUAAUACACAAUAGUCUGCUUAUCGUGACUAGUGUGGGAAAUAGAAAUCUGCAAUUUGCAGAAAAAAUGACUGUUCUGGAAUGUUUCCCCCCGCUGAGAAGAUUUCAGUGUAAUUAGUAUGAAUGACUCUCUGGUUUGUUUUUCUUUUUUUUCCACAUAAUUUAGGAAAGACAACCAUUCAUUAAUUCAAAAUGCACAAACGCAGUUGAGAG